UCGUGAUCCACCCUCCUUGGCCUCCCAAAGUGCUGGGAUUACAGGUGUUAGCCGCUGCGCCCGGCCCUAACAAUAUUAUUAUAUAACAAGAUUACUUUCCAAAAAUUUAACAAAUCAUUUUGUAUAUUGAGAUUUUUUGCUUUCAGAGAGUAGACAAAAUGGCUAUGAGGCAGUGUACAAGUUUGUAUGAUCAAAAAGAGCAAAAUUACCUCUGUUCUCUCAUUUUGCAGGAGCAGUAGAGAACUGUGGACUAUUCUGCUUGGAAGGUCAGCUCUGAGAGAGCUGAGUCAGAUUGAGGCAGAACUGAAUAAACAUUGGCGGCGAUUGUUAGAGGGACUUUCUUACUACAAACCUCCCAGGUAUGGCAAUUCCAGGUGUCUGGUUAAAGUAAUUCCCCUAAGGAAGCUG
This 408-nucleotide small RNA is filed under the name Pongo abelii (Sumatran orangutan). RNAcentral's name for it is "retained intron". The record is from RNAcentral. Lineage: Eukaryota; Metazoa; Chordata; Mammalia; Primates; Hominidae.